CAAGGGAAAGACAGUAAAACACACACAGCCUGGAGGCUGCACUCAGGCAAGAGAAAGAGGGUUCAUCAUUUGGGUCACCAGUUACCUGGCCAGCAUCACCACCUUGCUGUGGAGAAAGGUGAACAUCUGUGUCUCCACCAUGCAGAACCUUCUUCUAUCAAGAACAGGAAAGUUCUU
This is a long non-coding RNA of Nothoprocta perdicaria, 177 nucleotides long. RefSeq lists it as uncharacterized. The transcript has 3 exons. The record is from RefSeq and is a predicted model, not a curated record. Lineage: Eukaryota; Metazoa; Chordata; Aves; Tinamiformes; Tinamidae.